This 484-nucleotide ribosomal RNA is filed under the name uncultured bacterium. RNAcentral describes it as "partial 16S ribosomal RNA". It matches the Rfam family "Bacterial small subunit ribosomal RNA", at positions 30 to 507 of the family's 1533-position model. The record is from RNAcentral.
AUUGAACGCUGGCGGCAGGCCUAACACAUGCAAGUCGAGCGGAUGAAGGGAGCUUGCUCCUGGAUUCAGCGGCGGACGGGUGAGUAAUGCCUAUGAAUCUGCCUGGUAGUGGGGGAGAACGUCCGGAAACGGGCGCUAAUACCGCAUACGUCCUGAGGGAGAAAGUGGGGGAUCUUCGGACCUCACGCUAUCAGAUGAGCCUAGGUCGGAUUAGCUAGUUGGUGGGGUAAAGGCCUACCAAGGCGGCGAUCCGUAACUGGUCUGAGAGGAUGAUCAGUCACACUGGAACUGAGACACGGUCCAGACUCCUACGGGAGGCAGCAGUGGGGAAUAUUGGACAAUGGGCGAAAGUCUGAUCCAGCCAUGCCGCGUGUGUGAAGAAGGUCUUCGGAUUGUAAAGCACUUUAAGUUGGGAGGAAGGGCAGUAAGUUAAUACCUUGCUGUUUUGACGUUACCAACAGAAUAAGCACCGGCUAACUUCGUG